RNAcentral lists this ribosomal RNA (135 nucleotides) under Pseudomonas aeruginosa. Its description in RNAcentral is "partial 23S ribosomal RNA". It matches the Rfam family "Bacterial large subunit ribosomal RNA", at positions 2796 to 2925 of the family's 2925-position model. The record is from RNAcentral. Lineage: Bacteria; Pseudomonadati; Pseudomonadota; Gammaproteobacteria; Pseudomonadales; Pseudomonadaceae. RNAcentral also lists the same sequence under 1 other name.
GCCCCGAGAUGAGUUCUCCCUGACUCCUUGAGAGUCCUGAAGGAACGUUGAAGACGACGACGUUGAUAGGCCGGGUGUGUAAGCGCAGCGAUGCGUUGAGCUAACCGGUACUAAUGAACCGUGAGGCUUAACCUU